AGGUGAAGCGAUGAGACCAGAAGAAAGUAAUGAAGUCGGGAAGGAUUUUAUCAAUUUAGAUCAGACCUCAAGGCAAGCUCUCCAAAACAAACUCAACUUCUACAAGAAUAAUGUAAUUACACAAUCAGAUGGGUGCCCAAUUUACACUUGCAGUAGGAACAUAUGAACACAAGAGAAUUUUGAGAUGAACAGGUCUCUGAGCUAGAACCCCCAGGAGCCUCCAGAUGACAUCGCCCUCCCUCCACCCCCCAGGGGAAUCGUCUAGGGUGGGGUCAUCCAACAGGUACAAAAAUUAUAAUCCUUGAUGUGUAAAGAUAGACGAUCAACUUGGUUUUUUCACUGGACUUCAAAUGAUAAUCAAGAUUUGGUCUUCUGGCUCUACUUCUCCAAGACUACAGGCAUUUCUUCCAGCUUACCCUGCUAGUCCAUGCAGGUCCAUGUUCAUAAAGCUUGUAAUCAAAUACUGUGAAGCAAGAAAUUUGCUCUCAUAUGAUCAAAUAUCAUGAUUUCAGUGGCUUAUAACAGCAGCUUAUAAGCUGUAACUGAUCUUUGGUUAUUGGUGAAAAAGGGGUCCAGUUUCAAUGAUAACAAAGGUAAAAUUUCUAUGACAAAUCGUUGUCAACCAAUAAGGCUUCGAUUUCAAUUUGCUCGUAAUGCUUAUCGUAAUUUUGUUAUUAGAACAGGUUUUAUGAAAAUGGAGCCCGGGUGUUGUAACAUGAAGCCACAUUUGAUUGCGUGGCUGAUUUUUAUGAUUGAUCAUCAAAAGUCAAUCAAUCAUAAAAUCCACUCAUGAUCGAUCGCUUAGCUCUAUGUAACAGGGCCCUGGUCUUCUUGACCUGGGGUCCAUUUCAUAAAGAGUUGCAACGGUUGUAACUUUGCCAAUAUGGCAACUACCAUGGCAACAGGGCCCAGUAGCCAAUCAAAAUCAAGGUUACCAUGGUAGUUACCAUAAUGGCAAAGUAACAACAGUUGUAACUCUUUUGAAAUGGACCCCAGGUUUUUACAGUCCACAAGAAAUUCAUGAUUUCAGAAAGUAAAGGCGUGAUAUAUUUUGAUGUAUCUGGUGAUUUUAGGUACAUUUCUCUAAGGUGAUACAAUUUAUUUCAUACUAGAUUGAAGGAAUUUGAUUUUGUUUUGCAAUAAAAUCGCCCAUGAAGUUGAAGUCAUCUGUGUCAAAAUUAUUUCCUUGAAUAAUCAAGAGAUUACUCCAUUUAUGUUAUUAGAAAUUUGCACAUAACGCUUGAUCGUUUGAUGUGCAUAUUUUCCACAGUAUUCAUUUCUACAAUAUAAAACUCUUAACACGUUGCUGAGCUAGCAUAUAUCCGGGCUGGAAUCUAUGGAAAACAUGUUUUAUUGCAAAAUCAAUCAGUCACAAAUGGGUUAAGACAACCAUUAGAAUUUCGUUUAAUACAUGUGUAUAUAUUAAAAAAACAUUGUCACUUUUCUUUGAUGAAAGAUGUUGAGAAAGGUUAUAAAUCAGUGUUUGUUUUGCUUGUAGUUUAAGCAAAGCAUGAUUGAUUUAAUAAGAUACUAUACAGUUUAUGUGGUAAUUGUAUAGAAAACUUAUAUUUAUGUUCAACUUUUAUUCUCCUCCUUCAGGUCAAUAUGUUUUUGAGGUACAACACUUGUGAACUGGGAAGUUUUUAUGUUGUCAUUUAUUAUUUGACCGUUUUGAACAGAUAAUAUGGAUAAACAUUUUCAUACUAUGCAUUUUUUAUGUCUUCUUUCUUGUUUUGUUAUUCUGUGACUUUUCCAAAUAGUGUAGCAGUUCUAGGUUUUACUUACAAGUGUUAUUAAAUUAGUUUUUUAGCUAAGAGAUAAAUUAUAGAUGAUAUAUUUUCAUUUAUAGUCAUCUUAUGUAGUUCUUUAUUUUCAAACAUAAAUUGUUGGUCAAAAUAUGUUAUACUUUCAGAUUUUUUCUUUAUAAAAAGAUGAAAUAUUUUUAUUAAUAUUUUUUAUAUCAUGUGAGUGAGUAUUUUCUUUUUAUUUGACGAUGUUUCAUUCUUAUUGCUAAAGUACUUGCUAUUAUAAAUCUGUACUUUACAUGAAUAUAUUGUACUUACGUCAUUUCAUGUCCAUUCUUAUUCUAUUAAAAUGUAUCAAGAAACAACAUAAUUUCAAUACCUUUUUACAGGCUUAUCAAGCAGGAAUAUAUCUACUAUAAAAUAAAGUUAUACAGUUUAUAUAUAUGAUUGUAACAACAUUUUACUAAAUGAUUUAUGUAAUUUGGAUAUCACAAAUUAUGCUAGGAUUCUGACCCUCUCUUCAUUUUCAAGUUUUAAAAGUUAUUUUCAAAUGAUAUAUUAUUCAUGUUGAUAUAGAUGGACUUGUCAGCUUUUUAUUGUUACAAAACUAAUCAGUUGUUAGACAACCAUACUUGAUGUAAAUAAAGAAAUAUAUAUAUCAUCUGCCUUGAAUGAGGACAUAUUAAUACAGGUAUCAGCAACACAUAUCUAUUUUAUGCUAAUCCCCAAUAAGUCACUUUCAAUCAAAUUUAUCCCUUUGAAGAAUAUUUGGUUUAAAAAAAAAUCAUCUUUAUUGGAAAUCUUUUGGCUUUUACUUAGUUUACGUUAUUGGAUGUCACAAAUGAUUUUUUUUUCAUUAAUAUAGGAUAUAGUUAUCAGACAAAACUGUGGAGCGAUUUCUGGCCAUAUUGAUAAACAUAGCAUAAUUUCUAUUUCUCUCAAUAUAUUAGAUUAUGCCAAACACAAAUAUUUGUUGGUCAUCACUGAAGUAGUAAUCAUAUAUAAACUAAUUCUAAAUCAAAACAAAUGAAAUAUAGUGUAUAUUUUAAUGUUCCAAUUAUCCACUUUAAUGUCAUCUACCAAAAGACAAAAGUGAAGCAUUAUAGCAAUAAAAUGGUUUAAAAAGUAGGAAUGAAUCACAAAUGUUACAGCUUUUUGUGGGAUGCAAUUUAUCAUUUGAAAUAUGAUUAGUUAUAAAUAUUGCAAUAUUCUGUAAAUGGUCCUGUUUGUAAAAUGGCCACAAAGAACUAGGUGUAAAAAGCAGGAAGCAGAUAAAAUCAAACUGAUUGACCUCCGUUUAUAUAUGUAUAUGCCAUCAAAAUGACCAUUGGAUAGGUGGGGUAUAUGAACAGGGAGUUUGUGUAAUGGAAACUAGGUAUUUACAGGGUUUUAAUACCAUCAAAAUAACAAGAUUCUUGGAUUGUACCUGAGAUUCCAUGAAAUCCAAACGCAAAAGCAGUUAUUCUUAAAAAAGAAAUUUUUGUUCAGGAAGCUCUGUACAAAGACUGCUUCGGUACCAUCAUAAUUUUCUUUUUAGCAGAAAUCUCAAAUCAGGGGCGUUUAAAACAAAUAGGUCAUCCAGGAAAUUUACUUAUUUUUGUGAUAACAAGUUUCCUCUUAUUUUGAGUUGGAGCAUUUGAGGGAUUAUAUCGUUUCUUUGUUGUUUUUUAUCUUUGUAUAUCAUUCAUGCGAGCAGUUAUUUAAUCUUUCAAUAAACAGGACUAAAAUCAGUGUUCAGACCAUUAUCUUAUUUUAUAUGAAUGCAACUGAACAUAAUGUUAUUAUAUUAACAUAUUUCUUUUAAUAUGAAUGUAUCAUAUCAAUAUUUAUGACAUGAAAUACAUUUUUAUGUCUUUAUUGAAGUCAUGUAUUAAAGUAUUUCUGUCAUUGAAUGAUAUCUAUCUUGAAAAUGUUCAUUUUCUGGGUAUCAGUCACGUUUUUUUCUUUUUUGAAGGUUAAGUCCACCCCCAACUUAAAGUCGAUAUGAAUAACCAUAGAGUAAUACUACUACUACUACUACUACUAUUAAUAAUAAAAAAGUCAUAGGAGCGCUGCUUAUCAUCAGGUUUCUUUAAUCUUGAUCUAAACAUUGUAUUCUGGGAUGUAAUAUUACCAGGAGCAUGCACAGCCACCUUGGAUUUUUAUGUAACCAAAAAGUCAAAUAAGCUUUUGAUAUGCUGAAAAUAAAAUCAAAUCAAAUGUAAAAUAAGAAAGUGAUGUCAUCUCGAAGUUUAUUUUCACAGCUUGGGUUCUACUCUGAGAGUUGAUGAUGUCACACACUACUGAUAUAUCUUUUAUAUUUCAUUUUAUGAAGUACAGAAAAUUUGAUUUUUCUGCAGAUAUUACCAUUGGAAAACUCAUUUUAUCGGUUACAACAAUGGCAAUUUCUGCAUGUUCAGGGAGGAACUUUGUUUCCCAUUAUAAUGAGGGGAAAAUUAAAAGUACUUUAUAUACAAAAGAAA
Molecule: long non-coding RNA, 4207 nt
Organism: Lytechinus pictus (painted urchin)
Lineage: Eukaryota; Metazoa; Echinodermata; Echinoidea; Temnopleuroida; Toxopneustidae
Exons: 4
Source: RefSeq, a predicted model, not a curated record